RNAcentral lists this long non-coding RNA (1113 nucleotides) under Apteryx owenii (little spotted kiwi). RNAcentral's name for it is "lncRNA (ENSAOWG00000010187.1)". Lineage: Eukaryota; Metazoa; Chordata; Aves; Apterygiformes; Apterygidae. The record is from RNAcentral.
GGCACUGGUGUGUGCUGGGGGGCAGGGGCAGUGCUGCUGGGGCCUACUGGGAGCACUGGGGUGCACUGGUGGGGUCCGGUGCAUACUGGUGUGUACUGGUGGGCACUGGUGCGCAGGGGCAGCGCUGGUGUGGGGUCACUGGGACCGACUGGGAGCACUGGUGGGCGCUGGUGGGGUUUGGUGGGCACUGGGGGGCGCUGGGGGGCGCUGCUGGGUAUUGGGGGGUAUUGGUGUGUACUGGUGCGUACUGGUGUAUACUGGUGCUGACUGGGGGAUGUUGGUGGGCACUGGUUUAUACUGGUGGGCGCUGGGGGAUGCUGGUGUGCACUGCUGGAUAUUGGGGGGUAAUGGUGUGUACUGGUGCAUACUGGUGCAUACUGGUGCGCCCCGGUGCUGACUGGGGGGUGUUGGUGGGCACUGGUUCAUGCUGGUGGGUACUGGGGGGUGCUGGUGGGCACUGUUGGGUAUUGGGGGGUAAUGGUGUGUAAUGGUGCAUACUGGUGCAUACUGGUGUGCCCCAGUGCUGACUGGGGGGUGUUAGUGGGAACUGGUUCAUACUGGGGGGCGUUGGUGGGCGCUGGUUCGUACUGGUGCUCGCUGGGGGGCGCUGUUGCGUACUGAUUCAUACUGGUGCUCGCUGGGGUGCGCUGGGAGGUGCCGGUGCGUACUGGUUGGUACUGGUUUGUACUGGUGGGUACUGGUGCUGACGGGGGCGCGGGGCAGAGGCGCGGGAGUGCGUGAACUGUGGCGCCACGGCCACCCCGCUAUGGCGGCGCGACGGCACCGGCCACUACCUGUGCAACGCCUGCGGCCUCUACCACAAGAUGAACGGCCACAACCGGCCCCUCAUCCGCCCCAAGAAGCGCCUGGCCCUGCUGUGCCUCAAACCCACCCCCAUUGCCCCCCAACGGCCACAACCGGCCCCUCAUCCACCCCAAGAAGUGCCUGGUGAGCCCCGAAACGGCCCCCACGCCCCGAAAACCCCCCCGUACACACCCCAAAACUGCCCAGCUGCGCCCCAAAACCGCCCCGCUGCACCCCAAAACUGCCUCAUUGCGCCUCAAACCUGCCCCUGAUGGCCACAACCGGCCCCUCAUCCGCCCCAAGAAGCGC